GCUGGGAGCCAGGAGGGCUGGCGCUCGGGACACCUCCUCCCGGUGUGCUGCCAAGGACGGUGGCAGUGUCCGGUGUCCUCCCGCCCAGGGCGGCGGCCCCGGGCACACGGCAUCCGUCCCUGCUGCUCGCCCGAGCCCCUCGGGACCUGCUUCUGCCGGGAGAGGCAAGGUAACCUCGCCACUGAAAAUAGCUGGGACGGCGGCCAGCCGAGAUUAAUGGCUUCAUUAACGUCCCCAGUUUAUUUAUAGGCUUAAAAAUGCCUUGGACCUGCAAACUGAGCAUAGUUGCUCCGUGUAAGGCAGGGAAGCACAGGUCUCCUGCUUCUGCCUUUCCCUUUCCUGCUAUUUCAUUCUGAUUGCUGGGUCUGUAAAACCUCUGAAGCAAGCACUGUUUCUCAUUGUGAAGCUACUUUGUAAACCUUCCUAACUGAAAGGACACACACAGAUACUCUUUUUCUAUUUUUUUUUUCAAGAAUGCUGUAUUUGUCUGGUUUCCUUCCUCUACCGACUUUUUCUGUGCACACUGUGUCCUGUGGCCCUCUUAGAGAAAAUUCUCUUUUUGAUGAAUUCCUGAGGCAAAGGCUGAGCAGCCAUCACAGGAAUUAGUGACUUCCCACCUUGGGUUUUAAACUGUGAGCUCUGUGGGAGGAAGACUGAGAUUUUCAUACCUGUGGAGAGCAUGGAGGGCACUUAGGACAUGUAGGGCCCUGGUGAGAAAUGCAGUUGCAAUUAAUGAUUGUGGAGGUCUUCCAACAAAAGCCAGCACGCCCAGUGUCCAGUCCUCCAGGAGCCUUGUGGAACUGGUGAGAAAAGGAAAAAACACCCCAAGUGUGUUUGCCCCAGAAGAAGAGUUUUUGGCUCAUGACCUGUGGCCAUAGUGCUUGGCCUGUUUCCCAGCACAUGCUGAAAGAGACCUUCUGUUUCCUGGAGGCUGGCGGCUUCGAAAAAAAUCACAGCUCCAUUGUGCUCCAAAGUCAUGCUGAAUGAUUCAGAUGGAAAGAAAAACCGACGUCAGAAGGAACAGGGGACUCAAAGAUGAGUGUUGAGGCCAGCAGACCAGGAACAUUGAUCCCAGGCAGCAGCACAUCCUGAGAAUGUUGCACCCUGUGACAGCAGCAUUACAGUUUAUCCCUCUGUGCCAUGGGUCUGUGGAAGACAAGUGCUGCUCCUGGUAUUGGGGGUGUCCCUGAGCACCCCUGGCCCCACAGGACUGGCAUCGAUUGCCGGGGGGUGGUGGAGCAGCAGGAAAAUGCUCCUGUCCUACCUGGAGGCCGCAGAUCCAGCUCCCAGCAGCUGGGGAGGUGAAUUCACUCCUUCCUCCUGGAGCAGGGCUGCCAGCAGUGGAGGUCACACAGGGCAGGAGGAAGGGACAGGGUCACCGGCGGCAGAGGCAGGGAGGGGCAGAGCCUGGGGGCUCCUGUGCGGAAGCAGAGCAUGCAGUGAUAGACAGUGUUGCCACCACCAAACAUCUGGUGCGAAUGCUCCCCAAAAACAGAUCACUUCCUUCUUCCACCUCAAAGGAAACAGUGUUGGAGGGAGAUUCAGAUAUGGCAGGACUGGUGCAAGGAGGGGUUUAGUUCACCGUCAGCCUCCCAUUGGGAGCCACUUAAACAUUCCAGGUUGUGACUCUGGGACCAGACAUCAGUCUCAGGCAGGUUCUAAGGUCCUGCGAAAUGACCCAACAACCCAUGUGGGUGCUGAGCUUCUUAGCGCCCUGGAGCAGAAACCCACCAGCACUUUCCAUCGGUGGCUGGUAUUGCAAAACCAAUCCCUCUCUUCCCAAAAGCUGCCCUGGUGCCAAGGGGCUCAGGCUGUGAUCAGCCCUCACAUGCAUUUUCCUGUACCAGUUUUACAUUACAGUGCUGCUUCACAGCAUCUUCCUCAUUGGCAGGCGUCAGGAGAAAUGUGUGUCAACAAAUCUGAAGUGAGCAUAAGCGCCACUAUAGUCAAGUCUGAUAAUAAAACAUGAGUCACUGUUACUCAAUCAUUUACCAGCGCACGUCUUGCAUGAAAGUUCUCUCUUCUAGGAAUCACCACCACACAAAUUUGAGAGUUGUUUUAAAGAGCACCCUGAUUUUACUUUCAACUGCCUGAUUGAGUUUUCAGGGGGCUGGUUCCUGCUAUCCCUCCUUGCAGCCCACCGCCCCAUGCUCCCUCUGCUCUGCGUUUCAAAGCCAGGCAUGAGGCACCCAGCCCUGGCAUGACCUGGUGUUCUGCCCAGGAGUUUUCACACCCAGUAUCUCCCCAACACCAGGAGUGAGCUGGCAGCAAGGAGAGGGCUGCUGGGACUGACCCCCCCCAGUUGCCAUCUGUAGUGCUGCUGCACAGUGUUCCGGGGAUGCGCAUUUUCCCGUGGGAUGGGAUGAGGAAGAGUGUGGUCAACCCCAGCAUUUUGGCAAGGGAGACUUUUUCCCAUAAAGAUAUUAUUUUCAUUGUUUUCUUACAUUUCACUUUGGGAAGGAGCAGGAGGUCAGGGAUGUCAUCCCAGACAUUUCUUCAAAACUGUUUUUAUCCUUGGUUACAAAUGCCCCUGCCAAACACAGCAGCACACGUCCUCGGUUUUCCCUCUGUAAGCCUGAUUUUUUGAAUGGCUUCUUGGAAAAAGCAUUUACAUGGUGACCUCUUGCUGCUCUAAGAUGUGCAGGGAGAUGGGUCCUUUCCAGGCAUUCAAGCUGUAGUGCUUGGUCCUUCCUGUUUUUACUGAGGAACUUUUGGGAGGUCAGAAAUACAUGAAUUGAGCUUUUGCUGCCUUAAUAGGUGAAAGGCUGCUGGAAGCACGUGGAUAAACUUCCUCCGUGCCAAAUGACCGCCAUUUAAGUAAAACACUUUUUAACAAUAGACGCAAAAUUUUAAAAGGUGUAGUUAAAAAAAAAAAACCACAUUUGCCUGUCUGUCCUCCUUGCUCUGUGCUGCUCUGCCUCUUGCUGCCUAGCUUGAUCUCCAGCACUCCUGCUGCAGGGAAGGCUUGAGCUUCUGAUGUGGCAAACAGGUAGACUAAGCUAAUUUAUCACUCAAGUCUUUUAUUCCAUCACAGAGUGGCAAAAGGGAAGGCUCGUCUCUCUUGUGGGUCACCUCUAAUAGCAAUUGCUUUCAAGCAAGAUGGAUUUCAAAAUUAGGUGCUCUUGAAGCAGAAGCCACACUGUAUUUUUCAACAGCACAAAGCAGCCGUAAGAGGAAUCUGACCUUCAUUCUUCAUAAUAAAUUCACUGGGGAAAAAAAAAAUCCAUCUUUGUUUUUCAGCUUGAAGUACUGUCAAAAGAAAAGCCAGGGCACACACAACAUUUACAAAAUAAAAAUACAAGACAACUUCAGCAAAAUGAUAAAAAAUUCAGAGAUUUACUUUUCCUGCUUUUUCUUACUCAAACAUUGGAAUAGUCUGACAGCUUGCCUGCAAGUACAUUGUUUUGAAAUAAAGGUUGGUGUUAAAAUGGAUCUAUACUAAGCUAAAUUAAGACCACCUCAAAGCAGUUUUCAGAUGUAGAAUGCAAUCCAGUAGCUAAAUCUGGGAAAAAGUUUAUCAAUACACAUCCACAUUUAGGCACUUCAUUGGACUUAGCACGUUUGUAAAACGUCUCUGAAUGUAUUUCAUGUGCUAAAAUAAUAUCUGCUGCAGCCUGCCAAAGGAAAAUGCCAGUUAUUUUCUGCUAAAGCGCCCCAAAAAGAUGUGAUCUGCAGAGAAGUACAGACUCGUAAGCUAAAGAAUAUAAUGGAGGAAUGCUUGAAAAUAUUUGGCAUUUUACUGUUACUAAUAAGAUGAUUGGUAUAUUUGAGUCCUAAAAACCUGUAGCUGGUCAGCUGCCACUGGCACAGCCUGGAAAUGGUGAAAAUUAAUUGUCGCUUGUAUUAAACACUAUCUUU
Molecule: long non-coding RNA, 3858 nt
Filed under: Taeniopygia guttata (zebra finch)
Lineage: Eukaryota; Metazoa; Chordata; Aves; Passeriformes; Estrildidae
Description: lncRNA (ENSTGUG00000020166.1)
Source: RNAcentral